UUCACUCCCGUUGUUUGGCAAGUGGGAGGAAGUGUCACAGCUCUUUUAUUUCUGCCACCCACAGCUUGGUGAGUAGGAGCAUUACAGCUCUUUUGCUCCCACAGUUCAGCAAAUUCUGAGUUCCUGUCCCAUGACCAAGAGGAAUGAGGAACAUGGACACCGGAGAAUGAGUAAGGCAGAGUAGAAUUUUAUUCAUCAGCGAGAGGGGACCUGAAAGCAGGUCGCCAUCUGUGAGGAUUAAAGUUAGGACCAAAUGCUGCUCAGAAAUUGUUUUAAUCUCAAAAGUAGUUGGCAAGUUUUCAGAGUUCAUUUUCAAGGCCUGGUGUAUGCAAAUCAUCCAUUGGACCUGGCAUUUUAAAAGUCUGCUGGAUUUGUGUAUUUAGUGAAGAGUAGGAGGUUUUCUGAGAAGGAAAAAUAGCUUCAUGAAACCAUGGACAUGGCUGUGGAGAAGGCGUUGCAUUGGUUACAUGAAAACCGUGUGACAACCUUGGAAGUCUGAAAGAGCAGGAGAGAGGCUAAGCACACACAUAUUGUGAUUUUAAGAGUCUCAAGGGCUGACACAAGCUGAGAUGAGGAAAUAUGACCUCCUACACGUGUUUUCCAUGAGGAAUAUGUUUGCUGUGCAGUCACUGAGUUAAAAGCAACCUUCAUUCCCUUGUGCACCAAGGUAAUUUGGAAAACAAGCCAGAGAAGUCAGGACUGCUAUUUCUCAGUCUGAUUUAACCAUUGACAGACUAUUUUUACAUCCACUAUGGAGAUGUUCAGGUGAGAUAAACACCGCAGAGAAUACUGAGGAAACACUUACUUUCACAUGAGUAAUACAUUAUGAUAACUCACAUCUUCUAAUAAUAUAAUCUUGUUUUGAAUUCAAACAACUUUCAUACUAUUUGGUGUAGUGCCUGAAUCUAAUCCUGUUUCUACCAUCUAGCUUUCUCAUACAGAAUACCUAAUGAAAUUUGCCCUUCACUGUUACUUGAAUUCAAUUAAGGUGAUGCUAUCUCUGUUCUGUGUUCUGAUAAACUCACUGAGGUAUCACUUUCUCUGAUAAAUACCCAGGUAUCUUAAUGAGGUCAAUGUCACUACUUGUUUAAUUAACUUUUAUUUUCUGUAAUUCACAUACUGGUGGUUUCCACUGGGAUGUCUUAUUAAAAGAAAGUGCUGUUAUUAAAUAUAGAGUAAAAAUCAUUCCUGUAUAACUCCAUAGUUGAGAGUAUUGAAGCUCUUAUACAAUUCUUUCAAUGAAAUGUUUUGUGAAAUUAUAAGCUAAUGCUCACUAUUUCAAAGACACUAAGUAAAGUUGUGUCUAUGUUUUGAAAAAGAAAUUAUUAACCAUGUUUUACCUUAACUCUUUGCUAGAAGCUCUCUGGAUAUUCUGAUCAAAAGCCUAGGUGGGAUGUAAUUUAUUAACCAUAACAGCUUGUUAAGCCUUGGAUUACUCAAAAUUGUUCCUAAAAUUGUUGAGCAAUUUAAUGUAUUGGAUAGAGACCUUUAGCUUUAAAAAUGAUACUACUGAAUAUGAAAAUAUAGAAUCUAUUGCUAAUCCACGAAGAGAGGCAAAUGUCCUCUGGGUGUGUAUGGCAGAUGCUCCUGACAGCAAUAACUUAACCAUACCCCGAGAAUGACCCUACCUUCUAAGAAGAAUGUGUGUUUGGAGUUCUAAGCAAGAAACCUGGGGGUAGCCAACUGGAGAUUCAUUCCUUAUGUAUGAAGGAUAUCUGAUCCAUUGGCCUAUCCCUUGGAAUGCAGACCAUACAGGGGAUUGAAGCCCUUUGUUUGGGGUUAAAUGGGGGUUGCUACGUGGAGUGUGCAAAGUGAAAAUUGCUAUAUAGACCACAUGCUUUUACAAGUGGUAGCAUCUGUCCUGUCCAGCCCACUACCACUGGACCAUCCCAUACGUA
This 1898-nucleotide long non-coding RNA is filed under the name Homo sapiens (human). Its description in RNAcentral is "HSALNT0322343". The record is from RNAcentral. Lineage: Eukaryota; Metazoa; Chordata; Mammalia; Primates; Hominidae.